Molecule: long non-coding RNA, 1012 nt
Organism: Heterocephalus glaber (naked mole-rat)
Lineage: Eukaryota; Metazoa; Chordata; Mammalia; Rodentia; Bathyergidae
Source: Ensembl
GAAUUUUUAAAAUCCAGACGGUUAACCAGAUACUUUGCGUAGCUAAAGUUCUGCUAGGUCCUCUGGCACCUAGCAGAAAUAGCAGGUCUGGGAAGGGAGUCUUGGAGAGGCAGGCAGUGGCCUGGUCUGGUCUGCAGAUGUGACAUACAAACAUGAGAUAGUAUAUGACUUUCAGUUUUGAGUGGGUGGGGAGUGUAAUGCUAUCUAUUUGAAAAGAAAACAUCAAAAGAGCAGGAGGUACUUUAGGACUGAUGAGAGGCUUCCUGUGUCCUCAGUAGUCAUGAGGAACAGUCGAGGACAGUGAUGAUGGCAAACCUUCUACAGCUUUCAGUGAUAACAGACAGCUGUGGCACGCGUGCCUCAGGUUCACCACCACUGGUCUACGAGAAUCUGUGAGGAGCACGCUGGGACCUUCCACCCACAGAUGGGCCGCCGUCAAGGAGGUGGGAAAGUUAGGGCUCUGAAGUCAAACUGCUCAAGUUCAAACCUUGUCCUGAGAGUCACCUUACCUUUCAGGGCUUCAGUUGCCCCAUGUGUGAAGUGAGCAUCCUGCAAGGGGACGGAAUGGGCUCUCCACUCUGAGAUGGUGUAGGCCAUGUUGACCCGACAGAACUUCAUUUUAGAACGUGCCUUGUGGAGUCUGGGUGCUCAGUAAAUAUGUGUUCGGUAAGUUAGUGAACAGUAAGCCCUUUCCCUGAACCUUGUCUCCCCUUCUAAUUUAUUACACCCUUUGCCACUAGCACCGUGCUUGGAAAAUCUCUGCUAAAACCGUAUGAAUCUGUCUCCUAUGUUUUGUGUGCAGCGCGUUUGUUUUUACUUUGUCAUUUUGCAAACAUUCUUCCCUCUGCGUGGGCUGCUGCCUUUCUCCAUCCAAUAAUGCACAUUUGCUUUGACAAAGUCUAGCUCAAAACCCAGACCCUCCUAUUGGUCUUCAGUGAGUGGCUCUCCUUCAUCUUUCCCUCCAGCAGCCACAGAACUGAGGCCCGCUUGCUGCAUUCACAGCACCUGAAGC